Molecule: ribosomal RNA, 212 nt
Filed under: uncultured fungus
Lineage: Eukaryota; Fungi
Description: partial small subunit ribosomal RNA
Rfam family: Eukaryotic small subunit ribosomal RNA (bases 83-212)
Source: RNAcentral
GGCUGGUCUGCUAAUGGCUCUCGCAGUCGUUAGUUGUACCUAGUCAUCCGUACGGGAAUCUUAUUCGGCCUUCGCUGGUCGGUGAGUGGAUCGUACACUUUACUUUGAAAAAAUUAGAGUGUUCAAAGCAGGCCGUUACGGCUUGAAUAUCUUAGCAUGGAAUAAUAGAAUAGGACUUUGGUUCUAUUUUGUUGGUUUCUAGGACUAGAGUA